This is a non-coding RNA of Pelobates cultripes (western spadefoot toad), 230 nucleotides long. The record is from the annotation of a GenBank genome assembly. Lineage: Eukaryota; Metazoa; Chordata; Amphibia; Anura; Pelobatidae.
CCACUAGAGGCGCUUCUGGGUCAGCUUUGCAUUAGGAGAUCUAAAAAGCAUUUUGUCUGUUUGCCUUCAGUUUGAUCUGGAGCCGACCCAUUCUCAGCAGAAUUUGUUGGAAUAUCCCUUUGUUUAAUGCCAAGUCUCCUAUUGGAGACUUCUGCAGACUUUUUGUCAGAAAGUUCAAUUCCCACUGCCCUUAUGAGACUCAGUUCUAUUCCACCCACUCAAGAAUUUGG